Molecule: ribosomal RNA, 676 nt
Filed under: uncultured fungus
Lineage: Eukaryota; Fungi
Description: bacterial SSU rRNA
Rfam family: Eukaryotic small subunit ribosomal RNA (bases 1-361)
Source: RNAcentral
CCUUAGAUGUCCUGGGCCGCACGCGCGUUACACUGACAGAGCCAGCGAGUACUCCCUUGGCCGGAAGGCCCGGGUAAUCUUGUUAAACUCUGUCGUGCUGGGGAUAGAGCAUUGCAAUUAUUGCUCUUCAACGAGGAAUCCCUAGUAAGCGCAAGUCAUCAGCUUGCGUUGAUUACGUCCCUGCCCUUUGUACACACCGCCCGUCGCUACUACCGAUUGAAUGGCUCAGCGAGGCUUUCGGACUGGCCCAGAGAGGUUGGCAACGACCACUCAGGGCCGGAAAGUUAUCCAAACUCGGUCAUUUAGAGGAAGUAAAAGUCGUAACAAGGUCUCCGUUGGUGAACCAGCGGAGGAAUCAUUACAGAGUUUAACGACUCCCAAACCACUGUUAACGUACCCGUACCGUUGCCUCGGCGGGCGGCCCCUGGGAGGGGCCGCAGCCUCCCUCGCGGAGGCGCCCGCCGCAGGUCCCAAUCACUAUAUUACUUUUUUGGCACGUCUGAGUAAACUUCCAAACAAUCAAAACUUUCAACAACGGAUCUCUUGGUUCUGGCAUCGAUGAAGAACGCAGCGAAAUGCGAUAAGUAAUGUGAAUUGCAGAAUUCAGUGAAUCAUCGAAUCUUUGAACGCACAUUGCGCCCGCCAUCUUGGCGGGCAUGCCUGUCUGAGCGUCAUU